This 450-nucleotide ribosomal RNA is filed under the name uncultured bacterium. RNAcentral's name for it is "partial 16S ribosomal RNA". It matches the Rfam family "Bacterial small subunit ribosomal RNA", at positions 354 to 796 of the family's 1533-position model. The record is from RNAcentral.
GUGGGGAAUCUUCCACAAUGGACGAAAGUCUGAUGGAGCAACGCCGCGUGAGUGAAGAAGGGUUUCGGCUCGUAAAGCUCUGUUGUCGGGGACGAAUGUGCAGUAUUUGAAUAAAGUAGUGCAAUGACGGUACCUGACGAGGAAGCCACGGCUAACUACGUGCCAGCAGCCGCGGUAAUACGUAGGUGGCCAGCGUUGUCCGGAAUUAUUGGGCGUAAAGGGAGCGCAGGCGGGAAGGUAAGUCGGUCUUAAAAGUGCGGGGCUCAACCCCGAGAUGGGAUCGAAACGAUCUUUCUUGAGUGCAGGAGAGGAAAGUGGAAUUCCUAGUGUAGCGGUGAAAUGCGUAGAUAUUAGGAGGGACACCAGUGGCGAAGGCGACUUUCUGGACUGUAACUGACGCUGAGGCUCGAAAGCCAGGGGAGCGAACGGGAUUAGAAACCCGAGUAGUCC